Molecule: long non-coding RNA, 88 nt
Organism: Mustela erminea (ermine)
Lineage: Eukaryota; Metazoa; Chordata; Mammalia; Carnivora; Mustelidae
Exons: 3
Source: RefSeq, a predicted model, not a curated record
AAGGAGUGGAGGGAGAGGGAGAGAGAGAAUCUCGAGCAGAUUCCCCAGUGAGCAUAGAGCCCAAAAUGGGGUUGGAUUCCACCACACC